UACGUAGGGUGCAAGCGUUAAUCGGAAUUACUGGGCGUAAAGCGUGCGCAGGCGGUUUGUUAAGACAGUCGUGAAAUCCCCGGGCUUAACCUGGGAACUGCGAUUGUGACUGGCAAGCUAGAGUGUGGCAGAGGGGGGUGGAAUUCCACGUGUAGCAGUGAAAUGCGUAGAGAUGUGGAGGAACACCGAUGGCGAAGGCAGCCCCCUGGGCUAACACUGACGCUCAUGCACGAAAGCGUGGGGAGCAAACAGG
Molecule: ribosomal RNA, 253 nt
Filed under: uncultured bacterium
Lineage: Bacteria
Description: partial 16S ribosomal RNA
Rfam family: Bacterial small subunit ribosomal RNA
Source: RNAcentral